Molecule: ribosomal RNA, 234 nt
Filed under: uncultured bacterium
Lineage: Bacteria
Description: partial 16S ribosomal RNA
Rfam family: Bacterial small subunit ribosomal RNA
Source: RNAcentral
CUGGCCCUACGGGAGGCAGCAGUAGGGAAUAUUGCUCAAUGGGGGAAACCCUGAAGCAGCAACGCCGCGUGGAGGAUGAAGGUUUUAGGAUUGUAAACUCCUUUUGUGAGAGAAGAUAAUGACGGUAUCUCACGAAUAAGCAGCGGCUAACUCCGUGCCAGCAGCCGCGGUAAUACGGAGGGCGCAAGCGUUACUCGGAAUCAAUGGGCGUAAAGAGCGCGCAGGCGGGCUUGU